Long non-coding RNA from Cuculus canorus (common cuckoo), 3857 nucleotides. RefSeq lists it as uncharacterized. NCBI's taxonomy places the organism in Eukaryota, Metazoa, Chordata, Aves, Cuculiformes, Cuculidae. The transcript is spliced from 3 exons. The record is from RefSeq and is a predicted model, not a curated record.
AUCAGCUUCUAAUGAGCAGUCGGGUCAUUUGUCACCUGCACUUGUUGAGCAACACAGGAGGCGUUCAGCCACAGCCUGUGGUGGCCAAAGGGACCUUUGGUCGCAGAAGCUGAGUUUACAGUGAUGAAAUCACGAUGGAUGGGAUGGAGCAGGAGAAAUUCCAGCCCAGCCGGGUACAAAAGAAGCUCCAUGCGUGGGAGCAGCCAGGCUGCCCCGAGUCUUGCCCAGGGAUUUCCACAGCGAUGAAGGAGGAUCAAGACUGAGUAGGCACGUGGUGGAGAUCUAGACCAGCGUGAGAGCCCAGUAUCUGAACGCAGAGCUUGCUUUGGCAUUAGCAGGUACAGGCUUGGCCACUCGAAACAACAGAUAUCUUGUGAGCUAAAAUAAAGGGAUUAAGUUUCUCGUUGGCUCCUAGGGGAAACAGUGGUGGUAAUAAUGCAGUUGUGUAUUUGUUUGCUGGGAAGGAGGCUUUGUUUGCAAAGGAGGCUGCCAGAGUGAUGACUGCAGUAAACCUUCCCCAAAGUUUCCUGUGAGAACUCCUCGAUUCCCUGAACCCUCUGGAGCCCCAUAACAACACAAGUGAAGUAAUCCUGCCUCUGGGUCUUCUGUCUAACUAAUAUUUCUUCUUUCUGUUCCCACAGAUGUUUGUUGUACCUUGGUGCAUCAUCAGCUCUUUGUGGCCAAGUCUUUGUGGGCAGCUCUCUGUUGGACACUGCUCCACGGCUGACACUCCACGGGGACAAAUCUACACGGGGAGCCCCAGGCACCUGGCAGUCAGUGGUCCAGCAGAUGCCAGCGGUCCUCCCUGCCCUGACUGCCAGGCGCUUGGGGCUCCCCAUGGACACUUGUUCCCCGACAGAGUGGGUUGUGUAGAAGUGUCCUGCAGAAAGUUGUCCCUGUGGAGAGUCGAAUGUGUAGAGGUGUCCACUGAGAGCCGUCGCACGGCUUUGUCCUGCAGAGAGCUGGCCACCACCAACUGGACGCAGAGAGUUGUCCCUCUCCCAGCCUGUGCCCAAGCUGCCCGCAAACCACCACCCUGGCACUGAAGACUUUUCCUUAGACUCUCUGCAAACUUACUGCCAAAGACACAUUUUUGGCCCAUUUUUUUCCUGAUAUAAAGCUAUUUUCCACAGAUCGUAUGUGAGCCGGGAGGUGUCUCAGUGGCUCCACUCCCACCAUCCUGUGCUGAGGUUGUGCCACCCACUCCAGGAUCUACAUUUGACUGUCCUUUGUUUCUGCUAUUAAAUGCCCCGCGGUAAAUCCCGUGCCACGAGGACAUCCCAGCACUGAGGUUUGUGUUCGCUCACUUGUGGUGGUGCCAGCAUCACCAUCUGCCAAGCAGACCACGAGCUUCCCAAGGAGAAGGGGAUUCACAAGCAAGAAAUUAGGAAGGACCAACCCCUGGUGUCUGCUAUUACUAACAACCCUGCUUCCAAAGGUUGCCAUAAAGCAUCUACCGUCAGCAAAAUCAACCCUUUUAUUUUCCUUUUGCCUUCCUGAAACUUCAUUGCUCCUAAAUCAAUUUAAAAUAAAGUUUUUUGGGGGGAAAUUUUUCUUCCUAAGCAAAGACUUGGACCAUCACAAUUCUGAGUAAAUGUUUAUUGCUGAGCUAUAAAGCUCAAGUAAUGGAAAUGCUGACAAUCCUUUAUCCACAGUGGUCCCAGCUGGCCCCUCUGAUAAUAAAUUAUAGGACAUGAGGAGUAAACAGGACUUUCUGAAUCACCAGUGCUGUGUGCAACAGAGUGGUAAAAACAAGUUGGAUUUUCAGCACUGCCACAUGUUUUUCCCCCCCAGCUACUGUUUUGAUUCAAUGGUUGGAAUGCUUUAAGAUACUGUUGAGUGUGUUUAAAGAUUUUCAGACUGUGUAUAUUUCAACUUAUAUGAAUCUUUAAUAUAUCACUGCUCAGCUUCGCUCAGGAAAUUUGACAAUUAUCGUGUAACAACGAUACAGCUUUCAUAAAAACAUUGUUCUAUGAUGUACCGGCAAAAUAACAAGCUUAAAUUUGUCACAGUACUGACUGCAUGCUUGCAAUCAAUUUAGCUUUGUACGAAUGCAAAAACGUUCCCCUUGGGAACGUGCUAGAUAGAUUUUUCCAGUGCCUAUGGAACGCUAUAAAGGGAUCAAAAGUGACCCAAACCAGCAUGCAUAUGGAUGUUUCACUGCACAGUCUGUUAAAAUAUUCCCAAUUUAAAAUAUGUCUGACCAGAAAAAGUAAAAAUACUUUAAUUCCCUCAGCACAAACUGGAAAAAAUGGGGAUAAUCCACUUUCGGAGCAGUGAAUUCACAGGUUACCUUGGCAGAGCGCGGCAUAGCAACUGAGCUGUGACCAGCUUAGCUGCACAGCUAAUGAGUUUCAUUAUUUAAUAAUAAAUAGCAACAUUUAAUUUGUUCAAUCAUUACUAUUAAUAAAAUGCUUUAAUUAAGCUGAAGGCUGGUGGAAAUAAGCCAGAUUGGGCUGAAGCUGCGGUGGAGGUUUAGCUCUCAUCUGUGCACUGAAAUGUGGCCGUCAGCAGACAGGAGAGCGAUGGGGUUUUGCCUUUGGUGCCUUCAUUCGCAGGUUAAUUAUGCACUGAAAUUGCUUUGGUUUGGGUUUUAAUUGAUGGGAGGGGGACAUCCCUGGUUGCUCUUGGUUGUGUCCGCAGGUGGUUGUCGCCGCUGUGGGGUGAGGAAGGCCGUCGUUGGUGCCUGGCUCCAGCUGCCUCCUGCGAGCGUGCAAGGCAACAGCAGAAAGCCCGUCUCUGCGUGACCACAGGCUCUCUGGGGUGGAGAGGAGAAACCGGAGUUUGGAGGAACUUAAAGAAGAGUUUCAGUGCACAAAAAGUCGAGAGUGACGCUUCACCUAAAAAUCCAGGAUCCUUCCAAUUUCCGGCACUUUCCCGGAUUAAAGCCCUGAGGCAAUGAGCAAAGGUGCGUGAAAAAAGUGAAAGUAGUUGCAGCUGCAGCCAUUGUCAUAAACCACACCAGGCAAUGAUGAUCUAUGGAUCCUCCUCAAAUCAACCACCAGCUGCUGUAGAAGCUGACCGAGGCUGGCCCUGACACUGUCUGGAUGGUGUAGCAGCUCUGCACGGUGAUGGUGCAGGCUGAAUUCACAAGCCAGGGCUUCAGUCCCAUCUUUCUCUGGUGCCCUGCACACCAGAGCAGGCAGCAUCUCUGCAAACUAUCCAUGUUGUCCCCAGUUCCUCCCUCUUCCUUGGUACUUUUUGUCCUUUAAAUGCGUCUUCAGCCCCGCCCGCAUUUUCAGCCAGGUUCUCCUCUCCUUCUGCAGGCCAGGACAUGGGGCUGUCUACCAGCACGAGGCUGUUGGCAUCCCUGUAGCCACACUGAGCCAGGAGGAGGCAUGGCUCCAGCCUGUAUCUCCUCUAGCAUCCCUUGCCCAAACAGUCACUCCCCAUUCUUCAGCUCAGGAGGUGUCUAAGUGAAGGAUUUGUAGCUUUCUGGAGCGUUCCAUCUGCUGUGGCUGUUCCAGAAGGUGCACGUGUGAAUCCACACAUAAAUAAUACCUUGUGUCAUCACCGAUGGAGAUAUUUGUCUUUGGUAGCCACAUGGCAGGUGGGCUGGAGGAGUCUCAUCAGCAUCCUCAGUGUUGCCAAGUGGCUGCAUGUGUUGUCACUACACAGGAGAGUAAUUCUGGGACACUGCGUGUCGCCGGAUGAAAAAGAGAUGAAGCUGUUGAACUGCAGUGAAAUUGCAGCUCGGAGUUUUUUUCCUGGCUGGAUAAAUUGAGGCAGGAUGGAGAUGGAGCCCACCAGAAACCACCACUUUGAAACCGAUGCUUGUACAUCCACUUGCCCCAAAGUGGCUGCCCCUAAACCUAGAAGGUUGCUUUGCUGCACAAGGGUGAGAAGUAUCUUCCAGC